GAUGAACGCUGGCGGCGUGCCUAAUACAUGCAAGUCGAGCGAACAGACGAGGAUCUUGCUCCUCUGACGUUAGCGGCGGACGGGUGAUGAACACGUGGAUAACCUACCUAUAAGACUGGGAUAACUUCGGGAAACCUGAGCUAAUACCGGAUAAUAUAUUGAACCGCAUGGUUCAAUAGCGAAAGACGGUUUUGCUGUCACUUAUAGAUGGAUCCGCGCCGCAUUAGCUAGUUGGUAAGGUAACGGCUUACCAAGGCUACGAUGCGUAGCCGACCUGAGAGGGUGAUCGGCCACACUGGAACUGAGACACGGUCCAGACUCCUACGGGAGGCAGCAGUAGGGAAUAUUCCGCAAUGGGCGAAAGCCUGACGGAGCAACGCCGCGUGAGUGAUGAAGGUCUUCGGAUCGUAAAGCUCUGUUAUUAGGGAAGAACAAAUGUGUAAGUAAAUAUGCCCGUCUUGACGGUACCUAAUCAGAAAGCCACGGCUAACUACGUG
RNAcentral lists this ribosomal RNA (497 nucleotides) under uncultured bacterium. RNAcentral describes it as "partial 16S ribosomal RNA". It matches the Rfam family "Bacterial small subunit ribosomal RNA", at positions 28 to 507 of the family's 1533-position model. The record is from RNAcentral.